Molecule: long non-coding RNA, 965 nt
Organism: Symphalangus syndactylus (siamang)
Lineage: Eukaryota; Metazoa; Chordata; Mammalia; Primates; Hylobatidae
Source: RefSeq, a predicted model, not a curated record
CAGCCCUGCGAGGUGGCACCCAGGCUCCAGCCCGGAGCAAUCAGGCGCGGCCGUACAUGCCAGAGGGCCGGGGCGUGUCCCCAGAACCCCAAGGCCAGCGGGGCCCGGGCGGCAGAGGAGGAGCGCAGAGUGCUCUCCACCAGCCCUUCUGACUGAGAAACAAACGAGUUUCUGUUCCCUUUCUAGGACAUAGAACAGAAAACCAAACAUUUCACCACAGCCAUUUGCUUCUUCGCCAGGAAAACACCUGGCAGGACCUAUCUCCAGGGCCGCUAGCUGACUGCACAACGAAUGCACAAAGGCGAGUCUUUCCAGGCUCAGAUAUGCCAACUAUCGGUUUUACCCAAGAAACUUUGAAAAUACACAUUCUGCAUACUUCUGCACAUUGUGGACAACUCUAUACCGCUUGCAUAGCCCCACACCCCUGUCACAGGCAGGAGGAGGAUGCUUAAAGCUGCCACUGGAGACGGAUACAGCACAUGGUUGUUCUGGAAAAGUCCCUUUCAGGUGAGCACUCUCUCUUUGGAGGUAAUUGUGUGUUCAGGAGUGUUCCUUCCUCCUCCCUUCUUUCUUUCUCCUCCCCUCUUUCCGCCAAGGUAAUAAAAAGUUAAAAGUAAACACACACAGGAACCCCAAUCCCGGGAAGUGGCAGCACUGGGUCCCCAAGCCAAGCGCCACCCUUAUGUUCGGGAAAGACACCUGGCAGAUGAGCUGAGUCUUGAGUCUCCUUACACGUGGUCCUGGGGUUUCUAUCAGGGUCUCUGUUUGCUUGCACCUCCUUUAUAUCAGAUCGUUGUUAGCCCCUUUCCCCAUGAGGGAGCCAUCCCUGUCCUAACCCUCCAGUCUCUUCACUGUGGCUUGUGGAAAACCACACUUUGGUUCUGUGACAUUAAAGCCCUUCCUCCCUGGGCUAACAGUCCUCUGGGCCCAGCUCUUUUGGGAAAAGGGUUACAGUGAAACAUUGA